GUUGCUGUAACACAUAUUUGUUUUCAUUAUUCCGUGCAUAAAUUGUUUUUACAUUUGUCAUUUUGGGGCCUUUUAUAGCUAUGCGGUAUGGACUUUGCUCCUUAUUGAAGGCCAUAUGGUAACAUACAGUUGUUAAUUUCUGUGUCAUUUGGUCUAUUUUGGAGUUGAAUCAUUGGCGAUCAUACUACAUCUUCUUAAUUUUUUUUAUGAAAGUCUGGUUCUUCUUUUUAGUUAUCGAAGAGUCAUGCACAAACAACGGGAAUAUUGGAAAAUAACCUUUA
Molecule: long non-coding RNA, 281 nt
Filed under: Mytilus galloprovincialis (Mediterranean mussel)
Lineage: Eukaryota; Metazoa; Mollusca; Bivalvia; Mytilida; Mytilidae
Source: RNAcentral